AUACGGAGGGUGCGAGCGUUAAUCGGAAUUACUGGGCGUAAAGCGCGCGUAGGCGGAUAAUUAAGUCAGAUGUGAAAUCCCCGGGCUCAACCUGGGAACUGCAUUUGAUACUGAUUAACUAGAGUAUGGUAGAGGUGAGUGGAAUUUCCGGUGUAGCGGUGAAAUGCGUAGAGAUCGGAAGGAACACCAGUGGCGAAGGCGACUCACUGGGCCAUUACUGACGCUGAGGUGCGAAAGCGUGGGUAGCAAACAGGAUUAGAAACCCUAGUAGUCC
This 274-nucleotide ribosomal RNA is filed under the name uncultured bacterium. RNAcentral's name for it is "partial 16S ribosomal RNA". It matches the Rfam family "Bacterial small subunit ribosomal RNA", at positions 523 to 796 of the family's 1533-position model. The record is from RNAcentral.